This 587-nucleotide ribosomal RNA is filed under the name uncultured bacterium. RNAcentral's name for it is "bacterial SSU rRNA". It matches the Rfam family "Bacterial small subunit ribosomal RNA", at positions 338 to 916 of the family's 1533-position model. The record is from RNAcentral.
CCUACGGGAGGCAGCAGUGGGGAAUAUUGGACAAUGGGCGCAAGCCUGAUCCAGCCAUGCCGCGUGGGUGAAGAAGGCCUUCGGGUUGUAAAGCCCUUUUGUCCGGAAAGAAAAGCACGGGAUUAAUACCCUCGUGUGAUGACGGUACCGGAAGAAUAAGCACCGGCUAACUUCGUGCCAGCAGCCGCGGUAAUACGAAGGGUGCAAGCGUUACUCGGAAUUACUGGGCGUAAAGCGUGCGUAGGUGGUGCGUUAAGUCUGUCGUGAAAUCCCCGGGCUCAACCUGGGAAUGGCGAUGGAUACUGGCGCGCUAGAGUGAGGUAGAGGAGAGUGGAAUUCCCGGUGUAGCAGUGAAAUGCGUAGAGAUCGGGAGGAACAUCAGUUGCGAAGGCGGCUCUCUGGACCAUCACUGACACUGAGGCACGAAAGCGUGGGGAGCAAACAGGAUUAGAUACCCUGGUAGUCCACGCCCUAAACGAUGCGAACUGGACGUUGGGCUCAAUUGAGAGCUCAGUGUCGAAGCUAACGCGUUAAGUUCGCCGCCUGGGGAGUACGGUCGCAAGACUGAAACUCAAAGGAAUUGACGG